Molecule: microRNA, 22 nt
Filed under: Pan troglodytes (chimpanzee)
Lineage: Eukaryota; Metazoa; Chordata; Mammalia; Primates; Hominidae
Also listed under: 1 other name
Description: ptr-miR-3173
Source: miRBase by way of RNAcentral
AAAGGAGGAAAUAGGCAGGCCA